Caretta caretta (loggerhead turtle) is the source of this 862-nucleotide long non-coding RNA. RefSeq lists it as uncharacterized. Lineage: Eukaryota; Metazoa; Chordata; Testudines; Cheloniidae. The record is from RefSeq and is a predicted model, not a curated record.
UCUGAUAAUCCAUGAUUGUAAAUUCUGUUUUGCUUUUUUGUCCCGAUGAUGUGAAAGGCAAGAUACAAAAGGAACAGAUUAUUUUGCUUGUGAGAGGAAAUGGCUCUGUAAUGUCCCUCUUCUCCUUCCAGGUCCUUUAGGCUGGAUGUUUGCUUUAUUUAUUGGGUUUGCUAUAAAUAGAGGCUCUGCUCAUCUGUAUCCCUGCUUCAUAAGCACUUUCUGAAUUAACCAUGAAACCAGAAACACCACUAUAUUGAUCCAGCCAAGGAUAUUAUUGGGGAUCCUGAUGACUGAUGGAGGAUAAAAAUAGAGAAUACUAGCUGCCAUACCAAGCCUCUCAACUGACUCAACUUCAAGUUUUAAGCUCAACUGACAAACCUUGUGAGAUGCUACUGAGAUCAAGAGAAUGAUCACAUGUCGGGAAUGCAGAAUAUGAGAGUUGAAUACCUCCGAUCCUCAUGACACAAAACUUCAGGUCAUCAGAGAAGCCAUUUUCCUGCACACCUCUGGCUGCGGUGCUGCUGAUACAGGAGACAGCAGAGUUUGAAGGCAGUGGAACACCAUGGGACCCACUUGCAAGGAAGCAAUGCAGCUCAGGGAAUAAUCUUCAGAUGACCUUGUCAAGAUAUAGCCAAGAACUUUGGCUUUAAUUAUUUUUGAAAACAAGAAUGCUCCAUGACAAUGGUUAUGAGAUCCCUGAAAUAUCUCUUAUGAAGUUCACAUUUUAAAUAGUCCUUGGGUAUGAAAUUUUAAAACUUACACAUCUAUGUAUUGAACUCUGAUUUCUUAAAAUAGAAAACUGGCAUUUUGUAUAUUGUUUCAGGUUACCAAGGGCUUCAUAAAUAAAAGGAGGUUUACAUUA